Molecule: ribosomal RNA, 492 nt
Filed under: uncultured bacterium
Lineage: Bacteria
Description: partial 16S ribosomal RNA
Rfam family: Bacterial small subunit ribosomal RNA
Source: RNAcentral
AGUGAACGCUGGCGGUAGGCCUAACACAUGCAAGUCGAACGGCAGCACAGUAAGAGCUUGCUCUUACGGGUGGCGAGUGGCGGACGGGUGAGGAAUACAGCGGAAUCUACUUUUUCGUGGGGGAUAACGGAGGGAAACUUACGCUAAUACCGCAUACGACCUACGGGUGAAAUCAGGGGAUCAUCGGACCUUGCGAGAAUGAAUAGGCCGAUGUCGGAUUGGUUAGUUGGCGGGGUAAGGGCCCACUAAGCCAACGGACCGUAGCUGGCCUGGGUGGAUGAUCGGCCACACUGGAACUGGAACACGCUCCAGACUCCUACGGGGGGCGGCAGAGGGGAAUAUUGGACAAUGGGCGAAAUCCUGCUCCAGCCCGACCGCGUGGGUGAAGAGGGCCUUCGGGUUGUAAAGCCCUUUUGUUGGGAAGAAAGAGCGGCAGGUUGAUACCCCGCUGUUCUGACGGUACCCAAAGAAUAAGCACCGGCUAACUUCGUG